ACCGCACGACCUCUCCCCUCCUCCCCGCACAACCUCUCCCCUCCUCCCCGCACGACCUCUCUCGCUCCCUCCUCCUCGCACGUCUCUCCCCCCUCCUCCUUCGCCGUUUGCCGCCCCGCCGUUCCUCCCGCAGCCUUGCGCCGCCAUUAGCCACAGGAUCCGCCCUGCGGCGCGCGGAGCCGCCUCCCGCAGCCGCAGCCGUAGCCGAUGUCGUAACCUCCCCCUGCCUCUUCUCCGCCUCACCCAUGUGCCUCCCAACCACCAAGCCACCGCCGCCUCAUCUCCUAGCUGCACGGCCGGGCGACGCAGCGAGGCGCGCUCCCACGCCGCCGCCGGUGGGACACCGCAAGACCGCCGUCGGCCGCGUCCAUACCCUCAUCCAUCUGCAUAGCCCCAGCUUUGUCUCCUCCGCUCCGAGGCCGUACACGCCCUGACGCACUUGAUCUGGACGGCAGUACCACCGGGGCGCAUCACCUUCUUGCGCCUCCCACAUAGGCCUCCGUGGUCGUGCUGCUCUGUACCCAAUGUCUGUCUAUAAGCUUCAUGUGCAUCAGUAGUCUUGAGCCGCCAAUCUUGAUCGAACAGGUCGCAGGAGCUUGCCGGUAACACCUGAUCUUUGAUCUGGUUUGUAUGCACGCGUGUAUGUGAUUAGUUUCAGGCUUUCAGCGGCCACAUGUCGUUGCAGUAAGACGAUGCAUCACGCAUUGAAUGGAACCGUAAGGCGAUGAGGCGAGGAGCGCGUGCACACACUGGCGUCAGCGGCACGGUGUCAAGCUGCGGAGAAGGCAUCCGGCGAGGCAGCCACCAAGUUCUCCAUCUCCUCUUGAAUUCUGCUAAUUAUCUUGGCAUUUUAUUGGCCUGCUACUUGAUGGAAAUCAAACUCCCCAUAUACACUUAUACUGAACACCACACACGACUGCUACUUUGGUGCAGGACGGUGAUUAGUCUUGCCUAAUUCUCUUGACCAAAGCAUUGCCCUUUGCUAUUUCUUAGUUUCUAUAUCUCAGGAUUAAUCGAUGAGUCAAAAGUCGAUGCUUCCGUUUCGAAAUCAUAGUUUUUGUUUUCAAAAUCAUAGAAAAGUUUGGGACGACUAUACUAUAGCAUGCUCUGGACAUCCUACUGAUGCCGAUGAUUUUGCUUUGCAGGUGCCUAAGUGGAUGGCGGUGAACAGGCGUUCAGCAAAGACUCUCUCUUAGUAUGGGACGAGGAGAUUGAAUUUGGACCCUGUUGAUGGCUCGAUACCGAACCCAGAACAUGUGCCUGAUCAUGGUACACACCAUUGGAUGGUUUUUGCCGCCUAUAUGUUUUUUUGUUGGGAGCUCGAAUCUGAAGCCUCUAUCCUGCAAAGAGGAGCAAGUGAUGUGGAUAUUUUACGAGCAAAAGAUUCAAGAAGUGUGCAGAGCAUUCAUAUUCCCCCACAAAAUUCAGUUGAAUAUGGCAUCCUCUCAACGUAAUGGGAUCCGGACACCAUUUCAGGACCUAACGAACACUAGAAAUUCUGGUAAUUAUAUAUCACCAAUUCUUGCCUAUGCCAUCCCCGUUCCAAAAGGAUACCGGCCAUCAGUGAAUAAUUACUUCAUGAAUACUCCCUCCAUUCCUAAAUAUAAGUCUUUUUAGAGAUUUAAAUAAGAGACUACAUACGGAGCAAAAUGAGUGAAUCUACACUCUAAAAUAUGUCCAUAUACAUCCGUAUAUAGUUUGUAUUGAAAUCUUUAGAAAGACUUGUAUUUAGGAACGGAGGGUGUAGAUAAAUUGGUAGGUCUCUUUGAUAGAAUGGGUAAUAUUCAAUCACUUCAGCAUUAUAGUCAUGCUAAGAGUUUACAUAAUGAAGAUAUCAUUUUAAUUUUCUUUAGUUUGGCUUCACCGGAAUAUUUAACAUUUUUAUCUUCAAGUGGCAUGUGUGUUUCAAUAAAGUAUGUGUAAGUUCUUGCUAAGAUAGUGGUGAUCCUGCAGUGUGGUGUCUCUGUUCAUCAAGCUCUGGUAUUUAAGUAAAUAUUGUCAACUGUUGCUUGCUUGUACAUUUUGCAUGUAUUCGUGUGCAAACAGAGCUACCAGUGCUGCAAAUGUCAUUAAACUUGGCCAACUUGAAACCAUUGCAGCUAACAUACACCUGAUUAUCUACUCAUGUAUGUCAUCAUUGCUACAGCCAAUUGGAACAACAAGCAAUGCAUCAGCUAAUUAGAACAUCAAGCAAGCAAUGCAGCUACUGUCAAGGUUGCAUCACAUUCAUGCUAUAGAUUCAGCAAAGUUUAGGUUCUCUAUCCAACACACUGUUGCUUCAAGCUUCAGGUUCAGGCGCCGACGACGAAGGGAACAAAACCUAUAUCUAUAUCACGUUGCGUGUCAACUGCCACAAGUGCCGACAUUGCCAACAUUACGGCUACCUGGGAAGCCGGCAGCCGGCAGUAGCACCGGAAGCAGGGACGGGAGCAACAAUGUAGGCGGUAGCCUACAACAGCGGAUGGGGUUACUGGGAUGGGCACGAGAGGCGGCGGCAUAGCUACCUGGAGCAGCAAGGUUCAGGAUAAGUGGAGGAGCUAGCAGCCAGAAACAUCGGAGGCGGUAGCUGUCGGUAGCAGCGCAGAUGGCAAGAAACAAAACGAGUGUUGAGGGUCCAUGUAGAAAAUAAAACUCAUUGGUAAUUGUAGAUCGGCCGCCGGUUGAAAUAGAGGUUGUUACAAUUAUGUUUUGAUGAAGAAUCAGUAUUAUUACAUAUUUAAAAAAAUACUUCCUCCAUUCUAAAUAUAAUCUUUUUAGAGAUUUCAGUAAGGACUACAUACGAGUGUAUAUAUUAAAGUAUAGAUUCACUCAUUUUACUUUGUAUAUAAUCCAAAUUGAAAUAUCUAAAAAUACUUUUACAUUUAAAAACGAAGAGAGUAUAAUUUUAUAUCUAGAUGAAGACGUGCAUUGCACAUGCACGUUUACUAGUCCAAGGAAAAAACAACCGGAUCACAAACAGAUGCCUAACUGCAAAUGAGCCAUGCGGUCAACGCGGGGUGGCGGCGGUAGCUCGAUGCAGAGAACGGUGGUGUGGCCAAGGCGUGGCUCUGGCGGGGCUGCCUUGAUUCUGGCUGAUGGCAGCUGCAAUGGGUCGACGACGGGAGGCUCCGGCGAGUGGGAGGGACGGCGGCGGCUGACCUCCUCCAUGGCCUGCCGCUGUUCGAGAGAGAGAGAGAUUCGAAGGUGAGGAGGAGAUAGAGAAGAACAGAAGGAAGGGGGAGUAGGAAAGGCAUGGGCACGCCCGGCAGGCUCUCACCUCUCUUACCUCCAUGCCGCUCCCAAGCCUAGACAACGACCCAUGCGACGGGAGCCCGUUGGCGCCGCCACCGGCGCCGGGCUUCACGACGAUCUACUCGACUCCGUGCGUCGAUUCAUCAACUCCGCACCAGCAUUCCACCGGGAUCGGCGUCCGGAUCAGCUCCUAACUCUGCAAGUCAUGGGGUAUGGGGCUGCUCGGUCUCAUCUCCAAGGGGCAUGCAGCCGCCGACGCCCGUACCUGCCGACGGGAACGAUCAAACGGACGAGCAGGAGAGAUCCUGUAGAUCCAAUGGCAGAAGGGCCAGAUGAUGGCCUCCAGUGCCUUUGGCCAGGUCUACCUCGGGAUGAAUCUGGACACUAGUGAGCUCCUCGCAUUAAAGCAGCUUUGAUCAGGAGCACCAAUGCCACACAGGAGAAAGCCCAAGAUUGGGUGCAUAUAAGAGAACUUCGGGAAGAAAAGUGAAGGUCCUCAAGAAUCUUUCACACCACAAUAUUACAGUGAGUAGAGUAAAUAUCGAUUACAAAUCAGAUUCUUUAUUUAAGUUCUAUCAAGUAGUUGCUCGAUCUAUUUUCUAUCGGGAGAGAAGAGGUACCUUGGGACUGUUUGUGAGGAAGACACACUGAAUAUCUUGCUGGAGUUUUUUUCCCACCCACUGCAUGCCACCGUCUGGCUCUCAGCACUCUGACCUCCAUGCGGUCGUCAGGAACUCCUCUGCCACAAGAUUCUCCCGUCCAGGUAGCGUACAGUCCGCCACAAGAUUCUCAUGUACAGGCAGUGUACAGAAGAUCUUGAACGAGGAUAAGCAAAUUAGUUCCUGAAGCUUCUCUAUCGGGAAGCGCAUGCCGUAAGAACAACUAUAGACGGCAUCACCGCCGUCGCUUAUGGAGCUCCACACCACUGCCCAGUUGUUCGAGAGCAUGUUCAAUCUUCUCGAUUCUAUACUAUGUGCAAAUGGUGAACUCUUUGCCAAACAAGAAGAUACGAGGAUCAGGCAUAUACGCCCCAUAAGGUAGCUAUAUAAAAAUUCAUGUGUUGUAGUGUGGAUUAUGGUCACGCUUUGUCUUGGACUGCAGAUAGCUAGGUUAAUAAAAUGGAUAUUCUGCAUAUUUUUUGAAUUUUUAGUAAGGGCUAGAUGAAUAAUGUAUGCACUAUGCAGUACUUCUGACUUGGGGCACUGAUUAAUUCUCCACAUGAAGGAACAUGGACAGAUGGUGGGCUCCAAGGCCAUGUCGAUGUUGUUGCGCUUGCAGCUUGAGAUCUACUUGGUCCAAAUGAAGAAUCGUCAUUUCAAAUGGUUAGUACAAUUUGCUCAAUGCCAUAAACCUGCACUGAUCUUCACUCAUGUCAUCUGACAGAAGUCUAUUGAAUUUCAAUAAAAUUUUGUUGUAUGUUAUCCAUGACGUAAGUGGAGAUAGGAAGGUCCAAAAAAUUUAAAAAUUGCGGCACAAGGGGGAUGGUCACUAAUUUUUCACUUGAUAAAAUGUUUGUGAAGUAUGGCAAAUUAUGACCUUAGCAAACCUUUUAUUUACAUAUAUUCAUAUAUAUUUUGAAUUUCAGAAACGUGCAUUGCACGUAUAUGGUUAGAUCUUAAUUUUCUUCAUUACUCAACAUAUUUGUACCCACUAGGAUUUCAUUUUUUUUUAUUAUUGAGUAUUAUACUAUUGUUAUUUGUUGUCCACCUUGAUCCUUCACUGCUAUUUUUCCUAGGCAACUUUGCAUGGAAUUAGGAUCACUUAAUAAGGUUCUGCUAUCUUUUUCAUAUUCGCUUGCUUUAUGCAUGAACCUAUCACCAAGAUUUGGAUCUCUUAUAUGCUGCAUCGAUGCUGUUGUAGAUUUGUUAGUGUUGAUUUGUAGUAAGAGGAAAUUUAAUGUUGUUCUCAUCAAUUUAUUUCAUAGCAUGUGUCACAAAUAAAUUUAUUACAGAUCUGGGAAUACCUUUUCUUUUUAGAUAAGUUUAGGCUUGAAUUGUCACAAGUAAAUGGGGGGCGUUGGGUAUAGUUUCAGGAAGCCAGAGCAUCAUAUUUAUUUUGAGCCACAUGGGGCGAAUUACAUCCAUGUAUUAAAAAACUAGGCGCCCGCUUAGGUAGAAAGUACAACUCUUGCUGUCCCGGGGCUUCAUAGUAGUGCUAGAAUUUAAUCAAUGAUCCAUGUACAUGUUGAUUGUUAUGAAACCAUGCGAUGGGAUCUUGAUCUUGACAAUGUCGAAAAAUCUGGUUCAUCAGAGACAAAAUCCCACCUUAAUUCCCCCCUUUGGAUCAUGAAAUAUUGGGGGUUAACACGAUGCUAUGUAAGAUGGGUUGAGAUCUACCAUACGGUAACUUUCUUUUAUUCAAAUAUUCUCUUUUGUUUUGUAGCCUUAAUGUUUUCUGUUGUGGGGUGACAAUGUCAAGGUCUAUGCUAACAAGCAAGAUUUUUUUAUAUGCAGUGAGUAUUGAACAGCGGACAAGUUGCUGCAUCCCUCUUGCAACCUUUACAAUUUAUGUUGGCAACUCUAAUAUAGUGGUUCUAAGACUGUUCAGUGAGAGAUGGAUUGGGUAUAUACCAAGAAGAACUACUCACAUGUUCUAAUUAUUGACUAACAAAUGUCCGCUGCUUUGCUACUGGUAUACGAGAGACCAGAAUCAUCUGAUAUAUAUAUUUGUGCACCAAAUUAUGUUAAGCACAAAGUCAAUGCUGGAGAUACUAAAAACGUACCCUGGUUGCAGUUAUUUAAACUGCAAGGCUUACAGUGAUCAUAUAUUUCCUACUACAUUGAUUUUAGCAGGAAAAUUCGAGGAAUCUAGAGGAGAUUCAGGGUCUUGGAUAGCACUGAAUACUACCGAAAAAUAGACAUAUUGCAUUCUUGAUCCUUUUUGCUUUUUUUCAUUUUCAUGCUAUUGAAGUACCGAAAAAUUGACUAGUGCUUUCUAUAUAUGUCAAAUUCACUUGUAAUUUCCUGAAGUUUUGUGAAAUAUUGAAGGAUAUCUUGGAACAACAAAGUUCCAAAUCGUCAUGGUAGAUGAUACGACACUGGCUGCUGAAGUUGCUCA
Long non-coding RNA from Triticum aestivum (bread wheat), 6288 nucleotides. RefSeq lists it as uncharacterized. NCBI's taxonomy places the organism in Eukaryota, Viridiplantae, Streptophyta, Magnoliopsida, Poales, Poaceae. The record is from RefSeq and is a predicted model, not a curated record. The transcript is spliced from 8 exons.